CCUGGCCUUGUGCUGCUGGAGGAGAGGAGCAAACAGCCCAAACUGCUAAGGAGGGGAGUACGCAGCUGGCAUGCACAGGCUCCUUUCCCCUCCCUGGAGCUUUCUGUGAUGCUGAGGAGCGUGGUGUCUGGGGACUCUGUGAAGCCCACUGGCGAGGCACGGUGUGUUCAGAGGAGAAUUCGACCCCCAAGAUGUUUUCCAGCCCUGAGAGCUAUAAUUUACAAUUUUCCCUUGGAUCGCAUUAAGUGGGAGCUCUGCCAGUGGGUUCAGGACCACUAACUCUGCUUUCCACUCCACAUCACUUCCUUAAGCCUCAGGAUGAGAGAGAGCAGCAGACAUCACAGCAAUGCGGAUCUGAUUUCAAAGCCCCCGGUCAGGUUAUGGUUUUGCUAAGGAAGUCUCUGGCAUGGCUUUAAGAGAAUGUUCAGGAGCCAUUGUGAUGAAUUCCAAUUAAGAGUCUUCCUGACACCAGAGGAUACAGAAGUCAAAGAAUGCCCUCAGCAGCACAGCAACAGACUGCACAGAGCACAGAUAAAUGUAAGAAAAUGGCAUAAUUGUAAAACAGAAUAGAAAAUUCCUGAAGAAAUGAAAGGGCUUUGAAUUUGGAAGACUCUCCAAAUGAAUUGUUCAGCUAAGGUUUCUGCCUGGAGCCUGAAAGAACUUGAUAGAAGAUUGUUGUAUGCUUGAUGUGGAAAAUAGUGGAAUGAUAAAAAUAC
Long non-coding RNA from Numida meleagris (helmeted guineafowl), 716 nucleotides. RefSeq lists it as uncharacterized. The record is from RefSeq and is a predicted model, not a curated record. The transcript has 2 exons. NCBI's taxonomy places the organism in Eukaryota, Metazoa, Chordata, Aves, Galliformes, Numididae.